Molecule: long non-coding RNA, 7495 nt
Filed under: Fragaria vesca (wild strawberry)
Lineage: Eukaryota; Viridiplantae; Streptophyta; Magnoliopsida; Rosales; Rosaceae
Description: long non-coding RNA (FVES_LNC002369)
Source: RNAcentral
UUAAGACCUUUCAUUUGAUCUUUAACAGCUUAAACCUUAGCUUGCUGUGUUUAUUUUGGUUUCUUUUGGUGCUUUGCAUUUUCUUAGACUGACGCUCUGUAAUACCCUAGAUUUUCAUUUCUAUUUUUCUUGUUUUAUUCCCUUAUUUUAAUGAAGGAUUAUUCAUGAAAAUUCUUAGGUUUAUGCGAAGUUGAAGUUCGGGAGUUUAUUUAAAGUUGCCUUGACUUUUAAUAGGCCAAAAGUUGACUUUAUUUUCCGUAAGUUAUCUUUGAAAACUUCCUUCAUGAAAGUUGUAGAGCUUGUCGAUACGAGUUCGUAGACAUGCGACACGUCUAAAACGGAUGUCGUAUGAGAAAGUUAUGGUCAGAGAAAGUUAGUUUCCGGGUUUGGAAAGUAUAUAUAAGUAGAAAAAUGUGUGGGAGUUAUUUUUUUGAAGCCCUAAAGUUGCAGCAGCCAGUUUCCAGUUCUCUCUCCUCUCUCCCGACUCUCUCACGCUCUCAUUCUUCUCCGGUUGAUUUCUCCCUCAUCCGACCACCAAAUUGGACGCCGCCGGUUCCGUUGGACUCGUACGGACGCCCUCUCCAUUUCUGGGGCAGUCUUGCUUGCCGUCUCGCCGCCUAGGAGCCGCCACGGAGCAGCAAAGCUGCUGCUGUCUCGCCGGAAAACCGGCGAUUUCGGCGGCAACGAGAGGCUAACUUAGGUGAGUCUGGUUCCUCUCAUCCUUCUAGUAGUGGCUAGGCAUAGAUUGAAGUAUGUUUAUGAGUUGUUGAGCCCGAAUUUGCAGAUUUAAGGUUGUUUUCGUGGUGGAAGUUGCGGGGCAGUUUCGGGCAGUUUCUGGCCAAAAUUGUUUAAAACCUCAGGUAUUAAAGUUGCUCUCCAUGCUUCAAUCUACAAGUUUCAUGUUUUGAGUUUUCUCAAAUUCGGAAGUUUGGGGUGGCGCGUGAGGCCCACUCGCCGCCGCCUGUGGCGGCGCGUCCGGUUGAGUUGCAGCCCUAGUUUCCUGUGGUUAGGUAGUCCUUACUGCUGUGAGCUUGUUGAGUGGUAGUGUGGCUAGUUUUAAGAAAUGUUGGCAUGCUAGAACGUUAAGUGUGAUUUUAGGUUUGUUGGAGGUUUGAGUUAGGAAUGGAGGAUUAGAGGCAGCCUUUGUGGGUCUCUAAGUUCGACGACGUUGGAAAGUUGUCACCUCUUGAAUUAAGGGUUAGUUAAGGGUAUUGUGUUAACCUAUAGUAUUUUAGUUACUAAGGUUUUAAUUGUGCUAUUUUUAGGUGAUUUGUGAAGUUGAGUUGGUUUACCUUGGUCGGUUGUGGAAUUUGCAGCGGGAGAUUUAGGUGAGUAAACCUCACCAAGGUUCACUUUUGAACCUAAGGAUAUUAUGGUUAUAUAAUGAUAAUGAUGGUGAUGUUGGUUUUAAUAUCAUGCUUUUAAUUGUUUUAAAAUUUCAUGAGCUUGAUCGCCAACGGCUCAUAGGUAAGAUAAAACAAGUUUUCUUUAUAUUGUGAUGUUGAGAAUAAUGAUGUGAUUUAUAUAUUAUGUUGUUGAGAAUAAUAAUUGUGAUCUUGUGUUGUUGUGGAUAAUGUUGUGAAAAUUUUUGUGCUUGUUGGAUAAAUAGCCAAACCGGGUUCCAAGCCCUUUUUGGGUGAUUGGUUGCGGUUAAGAUGCUAUUUAUCAUUUUUGUAUUGAUAUUAGACAGUCAAACCGGGUUCCAAGCCUUUGGCCGGGUGAUUGGUUACGGUUAGGAAUAGAGCUCUAGUCCGUCUGUCAGUGUAGGUCAUGGGAGAUACUAUAUGGUAUCUGGGACCCAUGGGUACACAUAGUGUUGUGGUAGGUCAUGAGAGGUAUUUUAUUAAAUAUCUGGGACUCAUGGGUACAUCUCUUGGGUAAUGUGUUUGAUGUGUGGUUUGAAUUUAUUGAUCCAAUCUCUCUUGUGAAUAUUGGAUGUGAUAAAUGUUGUGUUGUUUUUGAGUUUACUCAUAUGAGCUUUUUAGCUUACCGGGUUUGUUGUUUACAACCCGGCGCACCAUUUCUUGGUGUAGGGGUUAGACCUGCAGGUGAGGAUCAACAGGGUUGAGAUGGAGGCGUAGUGGCAGGUUUUUUUUUUGUUGUUGGGUUUUGAGUGUCUUUGUAUAUUCUUUUUAUAUACAUUGGGAUAUGAAUUAUUAAACUCAUGUGAACAUUCCCUUUCUUGUUCUCAAGUUAUGUAAACAAGGAAAUGUAAUAUUUAACUCAAUUUGGAGUUGUAUGUAAAUUUACAUUUCGCAUUGAGUUUAUUUUCCUUGAUUUUUGUUGAAACAGGUUUUGGGAUAUUAAUAUUUUAGGAUAUAUCAUGCCAAAAUUUUUGAAAUUUAUCUUUCGAAAAUUGGGGCGUGACACGCUCUCCUUUUGGCUUGAACACCCUGAGAAGUUCGCCACAUCCAGAGCCAUGUUACUUCAAAGAAACGUCAAGUCCAGCACAAAUUGAUAGCCUUUGGUUUUUUUUGAGUCACCGAUGAUCAUGAGUGUGUUCUGUCAAUCUCAUGGCAUGCCGCGCUUGAUAGUAUACCACAAAAAGAGUAAAAAUAAAAGUGAUACAGAUAUAGAGUGAUGAUGUGAUAACAAAAUAUAGUAAAGUCCAGAAUAAGACACAAUGAAAAGUCUCAUAAAUAGUUCUUAUGCGUAGAAAUUUUCUCUUGACAAAUUUCAAGAUCAGACAUGUCAUUAAGCAGAUCAGUGCAGAAGUAACUUAAAACUCCAGAAUUCCCAGAGCAUUUCUCAACGUUAAGAAUCUUUCAGUGUCCAAAGUUUUAGUAAACAGGUCAGCAAAUUGAGAUUCAGUAGGAACAAAAUUCAAUUCAAGAAUUUGCUUCUCAACUAAGUCCCUAAUGAAGUGAUAUCUGAGUUCUAUGUGCUUAGUCUUUGAGAGUAACACAGGAUUCUUAGUGAUACUAAUAGCACUGGUAUUGUCACAAAAAAUAGACAACUUACCUUGGGAAAUACCAUAGUCAGAGAGCAUUUGUUUAAGCCAAAGCAUUUGAGUACAACAAGAUCCAGCUGCUACAUAUUCAGCUUCAGUGGUGGAUAAGGAAAUGUAAUUUUGUUUCUUACUAUGCCAGGCCACCAUAUUGUUUCCUACAAAGAAACACCCUCCAGAAGUGCUUUUUCUAUCUUUCAAAUUUCCACCCCAAUCUGCAUCAGAGUAUGUAGCAAUUUCUGCAUUAGUAUCAAAAGUGUAAAAUAAACCACAACCUGUUGUUUCAGCAAUAUAUCUAAUAAUUCUUUUCACAGCUUCCAGAUGUGAUUCUCUCGGGUCUGCCUGAAAUCGUGCACAUACGCCUACACUAAAGGAUAUGUCCGGUCUGCUGGCUGUGAGAUACAGUAAACUACCGAUCAUAGACCUGUACAAGGUUUGAUCUACAAUUUUUCCCACUUUAUCUUCAGUAAGCUUAGUAGUUGUGCUCAUUGGAUUUGUGGAUGUCUUCUUGCUAUCCAGGCCGAACUUCCUGACUAAGUUUUCUGCAUAUUUAGACUGAGAAAUAAACAUGCCAUUGUCAAGUUGCUUAACUUGCAAGCCAAGGAAAAAGGUUAGUUCACCACACAUGCUCAUCUCAAAUUCACUUUCCAUCACAGAUUUAAAUUGUUUCACAAGUAAAUCAGAAGUAGAGCCAAAAACAAUAUCAUCAACAUAGACUUGUGCUAUUAUGAUAUCAGCAUUAAUUUUCUUAACAAACAAAGUCUUGUCGAUUGAUCCUCUAGAGUAACCUUUUUUAACAAGAUACACAGAAAGUCUGUCAUAUCAUGCUCUUGGAGCUUGUUUUAAGCCAUAGAGAGCCUUUUUAAGUUUAUAGACAUGAUCCAGAUGAUGUGGAUCCUGAAAACCUUGAGGUUGUGCAACAUACACUUCCUCUUGUAAAAUUCCAUUUAAAAAAGCAGUUUUGACAUCCAUCUGAAACAAUUUAAAUCUAAGAUGACAAGCAACAGCAAGAAGUAGUCUAACAGAUUCCAACCUAGCUACAGGAGCAAAAGUUUCACCAAAAUCAAUUCCCUCUACUUGAGAAUAUCCUUGUGCUACUAAUCUAGCUUUAUUUCUUACGAUAUUACCUUUCUCAUCACUUUUGUUCCUGAAAAUUCAUUUAGUCCCAAUGAUGUUACAAUUUUUAGGUUUGGGAACUAAGUCCCACACCUCAUUACGAGAGAACUGGUUAAGUUCUUCCUGCAUAGCACUUAUCCAACUUGAGUUAGUCAUUGCCUCUUUCACAGUUUUAGGUUCAAUUAAGGAAACAAAACCAAAGUGAGUGAUAAUGUUAAUGUCAGAUUUCUUUUCAUAUACAAAACAUAAAAGAACCUGUUCCUGUGAGAUGAUGUCUGAGUUGUGUAAAGAAUCACUUUCUUGUAGGCUUGACUCAGCAACCUUCCUUCUGGUUUGAAUGCCUUCGGAUGCUUUUUCAAUAAUAUCUUGAACCGUAUGAUCCAUCUUGACUUGUUUGAAACCUGUUCUAAAUUUUGGAGCUGUUGCAAAGAUGCCAUCAUCUUCUGAUUCUGACUAAGUCUCUUCUGAGGAAGGAUUUGUCAUGGAGAUCUCGGUGUAACUAUCUGUAUUUUUCUUUUGUGCGUAUAGAGGGUCAUUAACAGAAACAUUAAUAGAUUCCAUCAUUAAUUUAGUUCUAUUAUUAUACACUUUAUAUGCCCUGCUGUUUGUAGAGUAGCCAAGAAAAACUCCUUCAUCACUUCUAGGUUCAAAUUUUCCUAGAUAUUCUCUAUCUCUUAGAAUGUAACAAGGACUGCCAAAAAUGUGAAAAUAUGAAACAAUUAGUUUCUUACCUUUCCAUAUUUCAUAAGCAAUAUGAUCUGUACCUGGUCUCAAAUACACUCUAUUCAUAGUAUAACAAGCAGUAUUGAUGGCUUCUGCCCAAACACAAGGAUUUAAACCUGCUGCGUGUAUCAUGACCCUAGACAUCUCUACUAAGGCUCUAUUUUUCCUUUCAACUACCCCAUUUUGUUGUGGAGUGAUAGGAGAAGAGAAUUCAUGAAAAAUCCCAUUACUAGCACAAAAAUCAAAGAAUGCAUUAUUCUUAAAUUCAGUUCCAUUGUCUGAUCUAAUUCUAGAAAUCAUCAGCUGAAACUUUUGUUUUUCAUUUUCUAAUCUCUUACUUAGAGCCUUGAACAAGUCAAAAGUUUCAUAUUUGUCAUGCAAGAAUUCAACCCAGGUGAAUCUAGAAAAAUCAUCAACUACAACUAAAACAUAAUUUUUACCACCCAAGCUUUCAGUCUGAGAUGGUCCAACAAGAUCCAUAUGUAGCAGUUCUAGGACCUGAGAAGUAGAGACUGCAUUGACAGCCUUAUGAGGAACCUUAGUUUGCUUUCCAGUCCUGCAUUCACCACAAAUUUUGUCCGUGGAUCGGAUCCUUUAAGGAGAGGUAACUCUCUGAUAUAUCCCUUGUUUGAAAGUCUUUGAAGAUAUGGAUAAUUCAUGUGACCAAGUUUUUUGUGCCAUAACUCCAUUUCCUCUUCACAUGAUCUAAUGGAGAGACACGGAAGAACCUCCAUAUCUUCAGAUGAUGUAUGAUAGCAGUUGUCUGAAGCUCUCCUUCCAUGCAUAACUCUUUUUCCUGCACUGUUCAAAACUAAACAUCUAUGUUUGUUAAACCAGACAUCUUCAAAAUCAUCAGUUAACUGACUCACACUAACAAGAUUUGCUGUCAAGCCAUCAACAAACAAAACAUUUUUUAACUCAGGCAUUCCAGGUGCCUUUACAGUUCAUCUUGCCAGAAUAGCAGCCUUCUUUCCAUCCCCAAAAGUCACAUUACCUGUGGUGACUUCAUCAUUGAAAGCAGUGAACCACUCCUUAUUUCCUGUCAUAUGUCUGGAACACCCACUAUCAAAAUACUAAGUAUCCUUGUGCUUACUUGCAAGAGCUGUAAAGGCAACUAAACAAGUAGCUGAAGCAUCAUUUAACUUAAGAUUUUCCUUCCUUUUAAUCCACAGUAUUUUCUUCCUUUUAGGACUUGAUUUGGUUUGAAUUAUGAUUUUUGACAGUUCAUUGAUUUUCUCCAUUUGAGUUUUCAAAUCAUUUUUGAGUGAUUUAAUGUCAUUUUGAGAAUUAUUUUGACUCAGAAUUUUGCAACUAGGUCGAAUGUGUCCUAACUGACCACAGUGAUGACAAGUAGGAAUGAAACGAUUUCUAAUUAAUUGCUUACCAGAGUUUACCUUUACUUCUUCUGAAAGAGAGUGUGUGAUGAGUUUGGAAGACUCUUCUGGUUCAGCUAUCUCAGUUUUUAAGCUAGAAACAAACUUUGUUUCUAAUACCUUUUCUCCCUUAUAUCCCAAUCUUAAUCUGUCCCCAUAUCUUCUUCCAACCAGCAACAUUUGAGAGGAUUUUUCUGAGCUAGUUUUGAACUGUUCGAAUUUUUCAGUUGAGAUAUUCAACUUGUCCUGCAGAUUUGAGAUUUCAUUAGUUAAUUUUAAGUUCUGAUCUUUUAAAAACAAUACCUCAUUGACUAGCUCGGAUCUUUCAGUCCUCCAGGUUCCCUCAUCUCCACUUUGCAAGUUUUUUAGCUCUUCUUCCAGUUUGGUUUUUUCAACUUCCCAACUCUGUUGUAAAUCACUAAACUUUUUCUCCAUUUUCUGACAUUUAGAGAUCCAUACUUCAGCCUCAUCUUGUAGAACUUUAUUUUGCUGAACCAAUAGAUUUGAGGCCUUGAACAUUUGAGCACAAUAAUAAUCUAGUCCUUCUUCAAAAUCCUCAUCCGAAUCUGAGUCUGAAAACCCUUUAGUUGAACAAACAAAAGCUACAGUUUGUUCUUCAUCAUCAUUCCAAGUAGAGAGUAAAGACUUAUUAGUACCUGCAUAUUUCUUAUUUCCACAGUCAGCAGCCAUAUGGCCAAUGCCACCACAGGUAAAACAAGUUGGACCAGAAGGAGUAACAUUUUGAUUAAACCUAUUCCCCUCAGCUCUAGAGCUUGAGCCUCCCUCAGACUUUGAGUGGGGAAACUUUCUAGAAUUAAAAUUUCCUUUGGAAUUUCUUCCAACUGAGUUUUUGUUUUUCAUAAACUGUCUGAAUUGCUUAGUUAUUAGAUACAAGUCUAGUUUUUCUGAAUCUUCCUCACUUCGCUCAUUUCUUUCCUUUUUGGUUGCUUUAAAGGCUACACUUUUUGGUUUCUUCUCCCCACCUAUCCAUCUUUGCUCAAAAGCCUUAAGAUUUCAAAGCAAUUCAUCUAAUUUCAUGGUAUCUAAAUCAUAAGCAUCUUCAAUACUGAUAACCUUUCCUUGAUAGCUCUUAGGCAGACCUCUGAGAAUUUUCUUAACAAGUUUAUGCUCAGGAAUUUUCUCUUUUAGACCCCUACACUGUCCUGCCACUUUUAACACCCUUCUAUAAAAAUCAUCUACAGUUUCAUCUUCUUUUAAAGUCAUAGUUUCAAAUUCAUAAGUAAGUUGUUGCAACUUUUGAGAUCUUACCUUUUUGUUUCCUUCAUAGGUGAGUUCCAGUAGAUCCCAUGCCUCCUUGGCUGUUUCACAAUGAUUU